AAGAAUACAGUAAAGAAACACAUAGGAAAUACACAUAUGAAACACAGUAAAACAUGAUAAAGAUUAGUGAAAUUUUAAAGGACAAUUUGAUGAAACCCUAUAUUGGAAAAAGAUGAAGGUUCGAAAGGUGUAGUUUUAAAGAACUUUGAGAAAAAAUGCUUAACAGCUUAGAGAAAACACAAAUAUACCAUGGAUCUAAAGGAAUCGGAAAAACCUUGAAGGGUUAGGGUCUCAGAAGAACCCUAGUAAUGAGAAAGGCUUUGAAAAGUCACUUAUCUAAGUCGGAGAAGUCAAAAUCAGGCUAGAGCAACCAUGGUACACCGGGGCAAGGCCGAAGAUGGUUGUUGAACUCGAAUCAAACAAAGCCUGGACCAAACUUCAUCAUGUUCAGGCCUUAAAUAUUCAAAAACCAGGCAUGUAGGAGCAAUAUGAGAUGGGUAUAGGGCUUUCAUAACCUUGGAAGCCAUAGAUUCCAAUGGCUUUCAGGGCAAAAGUGGUGGGAGGUGGCUAGGUUUUGAGAGGCUUCGAGAGAGUUUGAGAGAAUGGGGGGUUCAGAGGCAGCUG
RNAcentral lists this long non-coding RNA (564 nucleotides) under Nicotiana benthamiana. RNAcentral describes it as "long non-coding RNA (NBEN_LNC035719)". The record is from RNAcentral. Lineage: Eukaryota; Viridiplantae; Streptophyta; Magnoliopsida; Solanales; Solanaceae.